Molecule: ribosomal RNA, 953 nt
Filed under: Vespertilio sinensis (Asian particolored bat)
Lineage: Eukaryota; Metazoa; Chordata; Mammalia; Chiroptera; Vespertilionidae
Description: 12S ribosomal RNA
Rfam family: Bacterial small subunit ribosomal RNA
Source: RNAcentral
AUAGGUUUGGUCCUGGCCUUUCUAUUAGUUAUUAAUAAAUUUACACAUGCAAGAAUCCCCGCCCCUGUGAAAAUGCCCUUAAACCAUGAUCUGGUGCAAAGGAGCUGGUAUCAGGCACACUAGGAAGUAGCCCAUGACACCUUGCUAAGCCACACCCCCACGGGAAACAGCAGUGACAAAAAUUAAGCAAUAGAUGAAAGUCUGACUAAGUUAUAUUAUCUGGUCCUGGUAAAUCUCGUGCCAGCCACCGCGGUCAUACGAUUAGGUCAAACUAAUAGACAACCGGCGUAAAGUGUGUUUUAGAAUUUACACCUGAAUAGAGUCAAACUCUGACUAGGCUGUAAAAAGUCUCAGUCACUGUAAGAUACACAACGAAAGUAACUUUAAGAGCUCUGACUACACGGCGUAAAGUGUGUUUUAGAAUUUACACCUGAAUAGAGUCAAACUCUGACUAGGCUGUAAAAAGUCUCAGUCACUGUAAGAUACACAACGAAAGUAACUUUAAGAGCUCUGACUACACUUGGCGGUGCCUUAUAUCCCUCUAGAGGAGCCUGUUCUAUAAUCGAUAAACCCCGAUAUACCCCACCAAUCCUUGCUAAAUCAGCCUAUAUACCGCCAUCUUCAGCAAACCCUAAAAAGGAGACAUAGUAAGCACAAACAUUAACAUAAAAACGUUAGGUCAAGGUGUAGCCUAUGGGUUGGAAAGCAAUGGGCUACAUUUUCCCACACGGAAAAAACCACGAAAACUCAUGUGAAAUCAUUAGUUAAAGGUGGAUUUAGUAGUAAAUUAAGAAUAGAGUGCUUAAUUGAAUAAGGCCAUGAGGCACGCACACACCGCCCGUCACCCUCCUCAAGCAAUAAUUAUUAAUCAUUUUAUAAAACUUUUAACACCACUUGCAAGAGGAGAUAAGUCGUAACAAGGUAAGUGUACUGGAAAGUGCACUUGGAUAACA